CUUCUUCUUGCCUUUGAAUGGAAGUCAUAGCUCUCGUCUGUGCUACCUGUUGGGGAGAAAAUGGUCAUGAAUUCUUACUUAAUUCUUCUUCACUGCAAGAUUGUCACUCUACAACAAAGCAUCAUGGCAAAAAAGCUAAGUAACUAGAGAAAAAGUCAUUCCCUUUUGCCUAUGACUAGAGAGGCAACAUGGUACCACGGACAGAACACUGGUUGUCCGUCAUAGCCCACUGUACUCCGCAGGGAGGUGGAGGCCACACCUGAGGUUUUGUUACCAGCCAGCUGUGUUUCACUGGGCAAGUCACUGAAUCCUGGUGGCCCAAAUUUUUAGACAUGAAACAAUAAUAAUACCUUCUCUGCCUUCCUUAAUUUGUUAUAAGAUUAAAAUGAGAUGGCAUAUGAAAAUUCUCUGUAAAAUACAAAGCACUUAAGAAAACUCCAAGCUCUGGUGGUGUUACUGAUUCCAACCUUCAAUGGCCUUUAUUGUCUCUCUUACUCAUUUAGUACCUCAUGAGAUACUGAUAUAAUUAGGAUGAGCAACUCAUUCCAAUUUGCCAGGAACUGUCUUGAUUUUCACAAUCACAAUGCAGAAAGCCCUGCUUUCUGGAGACCCUGCAAUCCCCAGCAAAUCAGAGUUUUUUGUUGCCCUAGCAAUAAUGAAGUUACUUGAUAAUAAGGAUGCUGGCUGGUGCUAACAUCUUCUUCCACCAUCCUCUCCAUGGGAAAGACACCAACAAGUUGUUCCCAUAUGUCUGGGCUGUAAGCAAAGAGGUCUUUGGAAAAAAGCAUGUGGGGGACUGGAGAGAACGGAGAUGGAAUCCUGCAAAGGACAAAGCAGUGUAGCUAAUACAGCCCUUUAUCUUCUCCAUUAAAUGGUCAUGCAAAUAAGGGCUCAAGUGAGUCAACCUUCUUGAAACUGAUAUGACUUCCUGGAUGGGCUCAAGAAAACAUAAUGUGUGUAAGCUUGAGUUGAAACCCUUAAAUAAAGCACUAAGUUGAAAAGAUAUAUUUAACUUC
This 1016-nucleotide long non-coding RNA is filed under the name Bos indicus x Bos taurus (hybrid cattle). RNAcentral describes it as "lncRNA (ENSBIXG00005008779.1)". Lineage: Eukaryota; Metazoa; Chordata; Mammalia; Artiodactyla; Bovidae. The record is from RNAcentral.